Aphis gossypii (cotton aphid) is the source of this 2035-nucleotide long non-coding RNA. RefSeq lists it as uncharacterized. The transcript has 9 exons. The record is from RefSeq and is a predicted model, not a curated record. NCBI's taxonomy places the organism in Eukaryota, Metazoa, Arthropoda, Insecta, Hemiptera, Aphididae.
UUGCAUUCUUCCGUUUCGUAAAAUUCUUUCAACUAUAUUUUUUUUUAUGAAUUAUGAUGUCAAGUGAACUUUUUUAAUUGAAAGAUGCAUACAAUUCUUCAAUAAUUUUAGUUCCAAUCAAUUUCACGAUACCAUCACAAUUAUAUACAAUAGCGUUUGCAAAAUAUUUAAUACAUUGUGUAUUGGCAUAAUUAAUAGCUUCAUUAACAUUUGGUCCAAGAUUGUAUCCUCCAUGAAACGAGUAUGGAUGUGUUAUUAUGAACAUUUCUAGCUUCUGUAUAACUUAAGUAUAAAUAAUUUUAUAUUUGUCUAAAAAAUUUUCUGUGAUGACAAAUAAUUUAUGGCCAAGUAGGUUCUCGCAGAAACGGCCCGGGGAAAUUGUAUUUAUUUAUUAUAGAAAUAAGAUUAUAAUCUUUGAGGUGUACGGGAAAAUACGACUAUUUACUACCAAAAUAAGUGAAUGGUUAAACUUUUAACAAAUUCAUCUCUUUGAUUUUUUAUAAGAGUAGGGUGACUUUUUAAAUGUGCUAGGUUCCAAUGUGAUUGGGUGCAAUCAUUUUUGUACAUUUGGUCGAAUAUUAAAUAUUUAAUGUUGGCUGCAUUCAACUGUUAUAAAAAUUUUGAGACCAUAGUAACGUAGUAAAUAGAAAAACUUUUAACAACGGUAAAAAAAUAUUUAAUCAACAUUUAAAUGAACAAGUAAUGAAUAUAAUAUAACAUCAAAUUAUCAUCAAAUAAAAAACAUAAAAAAGAAUUACUUAAGUGACACCUUAAAGAAGUUAAUUUAUCAUGACUGAUGAUAUGAAAAUUGUGGAUUUGAUUGAUAAUAUAAAAAAUUGGAAAAUUACUGCACGAAUUCAAAACAAAACAUCAGUCAGAAAAUUUAAAAUAAAUGGAAAUGAAACUAAAGUCUUCAAUUUAGAUAUAAUCGAUAAUAGCAGAGAUAUAAGAUGCGUUAUAUUCGGUGAUAAUGUUGAAAAAUUGUAUAUUUUUCAGAUACAAAAAAUAUACACUAUAGCUAACGGUUUCGUGAAAAAAACAAAUAAAAAGUUUAAUGAUUUCGAUCAUGAAUUUGAAAAAAUCUUAACAGAAAACUCUAAAAUUAUAGAAUCGAAAGAAGAUGAAAAUAUACCAAAAAAUGAUUUCAAUUUUAUUAAAAUAAAAGAUCUAGCUAAAAUAAAAAGCAAUUCUUUAAAAGAUAUUAUAGCGAUCAUCAAAAGUAUAAAAGGAAUAAAAAUAUCAAUAAAAAAUGGAUUACAAUUAAAGAGACAAGAUAUAAUUCUUAUUGAUGAUUCACAAUCUAAAAUAUCAUUAACAUUAUGGUCAGAUCAAAUAAAUGAUUUUGAUGGAGAAAAAGGUGAUAUUAUUGCUAUGAAUAAUAUUAAAAUUAAUGAAUUUAAUAACAUUAAAAACUUAAAUUUAGUUCGUUCAUUAUUGUUAUUAUAAACCUUAAAAUACCAGAACAAAAAGAGUAAUCUCAAAAAAUGGUAUAGCAAAGAAGGAAAAUAUAUCAAUGAAAAUAAAUUUAGAAACUGUUCAAGUCAAGAUCAGAAAACAUAUGAUUUCAAAAAAUUUAAAUCAAUAUACAAUAGUCCAAUAAAUACCAUACUUGAUAUUAUCGCCAAAAUCUAUGACAUAAAAAAAACCGAAAAAAUUAGCACAAUUCAUAAGGAAUUUGAGAAAAGAGAAAUAAUUUUAGUUGACAAGAAAGAUAAUAAAAUUGUUUUGAAGUUAUGGAAUGAAAACAUUGACGAAUUUAAAGCAAAAAAAAAAUGAUAUUGUAUCAAUAAAAAAUGUCAAAAUCGGAGAAUAUCACUAUGAAAAAAAUCUUUCAUUAACAGCUCAUUCCAUAAUACAAAUAAAUCUGAAUAUUCUAGAAGUAGAAAUAUUCACUAAUCAUAAUGAAGACCCUGGAAUCGAUGAUACAGAAAUGGAAAUUUUCAACACAAUACAAAUUAUAAAAAAUAUGGAAAUUGGAACAAUAAUAAAUAAGAAGUAUAUAAAAAUAAUAAACCAAAUCGUAUAAUAUUUUAUA